RNAcentral lists this transfer RNA (64 nucleotides) under Geotomus sp. FS-2019. RNAcentral's name for it is "tRNA-Asp". It matches the Rfam family "tRNA". From Rfam's summary of the family: Transfer RNA (tRNA) molecules are approximately 80 nucleotides in length. Lineage: Eukaryota; Metazoa; Arthropoda; Insecta; Hemiptera; Cydnidae. The record is from RNAcentral.
AAGGAAUUAGUUUAAACUAAAACAUUGACUUGUCAAGCCAAAAAUAUUUAAUAAAUAUUCCUUA